This is a non-coding RNA of Ameiurus melas (black bullhead), 75 nucleotides long. Lineage: Eukaryota; Metazoa; Chordata; Actinopteri; Siluriformes; Ictaluridae. The record is from the annotation of a GenBank genome assembly.
GGUAGUGGUGGCUUAGUGGUUAAGGCUUUGGGUUACUGAUCGGACGGUUUUUGGGUUCAAGCCCCAGCACUGCCA